UGCGCAGACGCGGGAGCGCAGGCAGCGCGCAGUGCCUGCGACGCUGCCGGGGUGGGCGCCGCCGGGACGCGACCCUGGAGGACCGGCACUGUGUGAAAAUUCUUACUCGGGCCCUCUUAGUGUCAGGCUUCCUUGGUGAUGUGUGGUGUAUACUGAAUGAAAAAGGAAAAGGAAGGCAAGAAAUAACCAUGUGCCUGUCGCUGAAGAUAUCUCAUGUAAACUCUUAACAGCUAAGGGUGAAGCAGGUUUUGUUUAUUACCCCAUUGCACAGGUGAGCAAACAGGCUUUGUGUAGCACUCCCACAGCCAAUAAUUGGCAGAAGCAAGCUUUGAAUCCAGAAUUAUCUAAUAUCAAACUGCUGUUCUUUCCUCCCCAACAGUGCUGAGUUCCUUGGAGAAAAUUAUUUUGUGGACAAGAAUCGUGCUCCUUCAACUUGGGGUGUGUGCCAAGGGCAGACAGCCAUGAGAACCCACAGGAUGGAUGCGUUGCCACUUUCUGGAGCAAUCCAUUUUACUUGAGGAAUCAGAAGGGAGGAAUCUGGUACUUGGGAGCCGGUACCUCUCUGCUCUCUCCCCAGCACCAGGGACAGAGCCUGGCACCUGGUGAGCACUCCACAAUUCCUUGUCAAAUGGAAGGACAGGUGUCUGCCUGUCUCAUUUGCCUCCUGAUCUGGAGCCUCCUGUGAUCUUAAGAACAAAUAGUGUUGGCUGUGGUCCCUCCCUGAUCCUGAGAAGGGGCAGGAAUGCUUCAGAAGAUGUUCUGACCUCCCGCAAUGUGCAUGUCUGUGCACGGGUGUGUGACCAGCGUGUGGGGCCAGGGGAUUCUUAUCCUAGAGACCCUGGGACCACCCAGAAGGCCCAGUCGACUCAUGACUUCUCUUCUCUCCCAGCCCCACCUUCUCAGCACUCUGCCCCUCUCCAAAUUGAAACCCUCAAGGGGGAGGAAAGGAUGCCUGCCGCACGCGGGAAAUCCAAGUCCAAGGCACCAGUCACAUUUGGGGAUUUGGCCAUCUACUUCUCCCAGGAGGAGUGGGAAUGGCUGAGUCCCAUUCAGAAGGAUCUGUAUGAAGAUGUCAUGUUGGAAAACUACCAGAACUUGGUUUCUCUCGGACUUUCCUUUCGGAGGCCAAAUGUGAUCACCUUAUUGGAAAAAGGGAAAGCACCCUGGAUGGUGGAGCCAGUGAAAAGACGCCGGGGCUUGGGUGAGUGACAGAGAACCAAG
Physeter macrocephalus (sperm whale) is the source of this 1221-nucleotide RNA transcript. RefSeq lists it as uncharacterized. NCBI's taxonomy places the organism in Eukaryota, Metazoa, Chordata, Mammalia, Artiodactyla, Physeteridae. The transcript is spliced from 5 exons. The record is from RefSeq and is a predicted model, not a curated record.